Molecule: long non-coding RNA, 603 nt
Filed under: Mus musculus (house mouse)
Lineage: Eukaryota; Metazoa; Chordata; Mammalia; Rodentia; Muridae
Description: predicted gene, 40849
Source: RNAcentral
UCUCUGUGUCGGAAUUCGUGGCCGAGACCCUUGAGGACUACAAGGCGCCCACGGCCUCUAGCUUCACCACACGCGCACGGCCCAGUGCCGCAACACCGUGGCGGCCGUCGAGGAGGACCAGAGGGAACCUCUUUGGGUGCGAGAGAGAUUGGUGAAAUGCUGCAAGAAUGAGGCUCCUUGCCGGGCGUGGUGGCGCACGCCUUUAAUCCCAGCACUCGGGAGGCAGAGGCAGGCGGAUUUCUGAGUUCGAGGCCAGCCUGGUCUACAAAGGAUAAGCUCGGGAUACUUGGUGCUCGAAACCCGGGGAGAAAACGCCUUAACAACGCGCACACCAGAGGAGACCCUUCUAAUCGAAGCAGGUUCAGAACCGAGGUGGAUCUAAAACUCCGAGAGCAUACUGGAUCCUUGAAGAAGACAACCCAUUCUGGCUGCCGGAACGACUGACACGGAGAAUUCUGACACCUGAAGAUGACUCCCGGAUGGAUCCCUUGGAAACUACCUCUAGUCCUCGUGCUACCUCUGUGGAUUUGGGUUCCUAGUAUAUUUGGAGAGUAUAGAUGGGCAAUUCUGUCUGCUUUCCCUAAGCCCAUGCCUGUCCAUCAU